Mastomys coucha (southern multimammate mouse) is the source of this 658-nucleotide long non-coding RNA. RefSeq lists it as uncharacterized. The transcript has 3 exons. Lineage: Eukaryota; Metazoa; Chordata; Mammalia; Rodentia; Muridae. The record is from RefSeq and is a predicted model, not a curated record.
UCAAAAUUGUUUAACUCUUUCAGUGAAAAGUCUUUGAGAAGUUUUCGUUUCUGUCAUCAAUAUGGCCACCUCACUCUCCUUCUGCACAUGUCUUGAUACUCAUGGGCAUGUCUCCUACUGAUUAAUGUCUGUGUUUCAACUUGGGAAUGAAAGUCUAGAUGAACUGAGCGGUGCUGUCGGUGGCAGAGUUACCCCGUGCUUCGUUUGGAAGACAGGAUCCUAUCCAUUAUGAUUCUAGGAAGAGAAAGGCUUCUGUUUAGAAUGUUGGCAGAAGUGUGGUUCAUAAAAACUGUCUGGAAUUCUAAACAGAGAUUCCAGGAAGGCUCAAAGACUUCAGGACAGCAAGCUUCUUGUCAUUAUGACAAAAAGAUCAGAAAAUCAAGUUAUGGAGAGAAAGCACCCUGCUCAUGGUUUUGGAGACUGCAGUUGGGUUGGUCUGAUGCUUCGGGAUCGUGGCAAGGCAGCGGGUGUGUCUUGGUGGAAGGAUCUGAUGGAGGAAGCUGAUAAUUUCAUGGCAUCCAGGAAACAAAAGAGAUCAUAUAGGCUGGGACCCAUUAACGCAUCCACAACUGAAAAGGAGCGCUGCUUCCACAUGGGAGCAUUCGGGAGUCAGUGACUGAACACCAAUCUUAAUAAAACGGGAAUGGAGAAUACAGAA